RNAcentral lists this ribosomal RNA (418 nucleotides) under uncultured bacterium. RNAcentral describes it as "bacterial SSU rRNA". It matches the Rfam family "Bacterial small subunit ribosomal RNA", at positions 29 to 492 of the family's 1533-position model. The record is from RNAcentral.
AACGAACGCUGGCGGCAGGCCUAACACAUGCAAGUCGAGCGCUCUCUUCGGAGGGAGCGGCGGACGGGUUAGUAACGCGUGGGAAUGUGCCCAGAUCUAAGGAAUAGCCACUGGAAACGGUGAGUAAUACCUUAUACGCCCUUCGGGGGAAAGAUUUAUCGGAUUUGGAUCGGCCCGCGUUAGAUUAGAUAGUUGGUGGGGUAACGGCCUACCAAGUCUACGAUCUAUAGCUGGUUUUAGAGGAUGAUCAGCAACACUGGGACUGAGACACGGCCCAGACUCCUACGGGAGGCAGCAGUGGGGAAUCUUGGACAAUGGGGGCAACCCUGAUCCAGCCAUGCCGCGUGAGUGAUGAAGGCCUUAGGGUCGUAAAGCUCUUUCGCCAGGGAUGAUAAUGACAGUACCUGGUAAAGAAACC